UGGUCUAACUCAGGAAACUGAGCUUCUGCUGGACAAGAACCUGGUGGGGUUUUGCAUCUGAAUACAUUCAGUUCCUAAUGAUAUUGUAAUAAAUUGGGACUAUAUAUGCCUCACAUAUUUCAAACUGCCUGAGCUAGGGAGAAUUUCAGUCUCAUUUAUAUCUCUCUUCACCCUACUGAGAUCACAAAGGCUCAUUAGCAACACAGUUUUAGAGCCACAGAAGACAGGAUCUGUCAUCAACAGAUGCGCAUAAAUCACAUUCUCAGAAACAUACAGGCAGGUAAUUCACACUGGCAACGAGGAAAGACAAAAGAAAGACCUUCCACAGUUUCUGACAGGACUGGAAACUCAUCAGUUGGAAAGACAACAAAGAAAGAGAAGGACCUGGGGGCAUAAUUUGAUCAUGGAUGAUUGUGGCCCGUCAGUGUGAUGCUGUCAUGAAAAAGACGUUUGUGAUCCCAGAACACACUAAGGUGCUUCCUGGACAGACUGAUUAAACAAUACUCAGCAAGGCACAGCUGAAAGCUCUUCUGGAA
Passer domesticus (house sparrow) is the source of this 536-nucleotide long non-coding RNA. RefSeq lists it as uncharacterized. The record is from RefSeq and is a predicted model, not a curated record. The transcript is spliced from 2 exons. Lineage: Eukaryota; Metazoa; Chordata; Aves; Passeriformes; Passeridae.